RNAcentral lists this ribosomal RNA (253 nucleotides) under uncultured bacterium. RNAcentral describes it as "partial 16S ribosomal RNA". It matches the Rfam family "Bacterial small subunit ribosomal RNA", at positions 524 to 776 of the family's 1533-position model. The record is from RNAcentral.
UACAGAGGUCUCAAGCGUUGUUCGGAUUCAUUGGGCGUAAAGGGUGUGUAGGUGGCGCGUUAAGUCGGGUGUGAAAUUUCGGAGCUUAACUCCGAAACUGCAUUCGAUACUGGCGUGCUUGAGGACUGGAGAGGAGACUGGAAUUUACGGUGUAGCGGUGAAAUGCGUAGAUAUCGUAAGGAAGACCAGUGGCGAAGGCGGGUCUCUGGACAGUUCCUGACGCUGAGGCACGAAAGCCAGGGGAGCAAACGGG